GAGGAAUGGGAGGAUGAUGAGUUAGAAAUUGUUCCCAAGGAGGAGGCUGCUGAAGAAGUUGAAUUUGGAGAUGAUAUCUAUCUAGAUGGACAUGACCUUGAGGAGAUUCUUGGGGCUGACUCACCUGUGGAUGGUGCUCCACAUCCGUUGAACUGCUAUAGUGAGGGAAAUGCUAGCAACAGUGGGGAAACAAGUAACUCCUUUGAAGAAGCACAAAACUGGCUUCAGCAACCGGAUGAGCAGGAAUCAUUUGAUCCUGCAAUUCAACAGAUCAAUGCAGAUACAAAUCCUGUCAAGCAUGAAUUCAUGAGUGAACCAAGCAAUAGUAUGAGCACUGAAGAUGUGGAUUACUUGCUUGAUGAACCAGUUAUAACUGCAACUGAUAACCUUCAAUUCAG
Molecule: unclassified non-coding RNA, 398 nt
Filed under: Hevea brasiliensis (rubber tree)
Lineage: Eukaryota; Viridiplantae; Streptophyta; Magnoliopsida; Malpighiales; Euphorbiaceae
Source: RNAcentral